This 506-nucleotide ribosomal RNA is filed under the name uncultured bacterium. RNAcentral describes it as "partial 16S ribosomal RNA". It matches the Rfam family "Bacterial small subunit ribosomal RNA", at positions 28 to 523 of the family's 1533-position model. The record is from RNAcentral.
GAUGAACGCUAGCUACAGGCUUAACACAUGCAAGUCGAGGGGUAACGAGAGGAAAGCUUGCUUUCCUUGUCGACGACCGGCGCACGGGUGAGUAACGCGUAUCCAACCUGCCCCCAACUAGGGAAUAACCUUGCGAAAGUAAGACUAAUACCCUAUAAUUUCCUCAGAUGACAUCUGACGAGGAAUAAAGAUUUAUCGGUUGUGGAUGGGGAUGCGUCUGAUUAGCUUGUUGGCGGGGUAACGGCCCACCAAGGCAACGAUCAGUAGGGGUUCUGAGAGGAAAGUCCCCCACAUUGGAACUGAGACACGGUCCAAACGCCUACGGGAGGCAGCAGUGAGGAAUAUUGGUCAAUGGGCGGAAGCCUGAACCAGCCAAGUAGCGUGCAGGAUGACGGCCCUAUGGGUUGUAAACUGCUUUUAUACAGGAAUAAAGUUAGCCACGUGUGGUUAUUUGUAGGUACUGUAUGAAUAAGGACCGGCUAAUUCCGUGCCAGCCGCCGCGGUAA